Molecule: ribosomal RNA, 253 nt
Filed under: uncultured bacterium
Lineage: Bacteria
Description: partial 16S ribosomal RNA
Rfam family: Bacterial small subunit ribosomal RNA
Source: RNAcentral
UACGUAGGGUGCGAGCGUUACUCGGAAUUACUGGGCGUAAAGCGUGCGCAGGCGGAUUGUUAAGCAAGAUGUGAAAUCCCCGGGCUUAACCUGGGAAUGGCAUUUUGAACUUGCAAUCUAGAGUGUGUCAGAGGGGGGUAGAAUUCCACGUGUAGCAGUGAAAUGCGUAGAGAUGUGGAGGAAUACCGAUGGCGAAGGCGGCCACCUGGACAGUAACUGACGCUGAGGCGCGAAAGCGUGGGGAGCAAACAGG